Molecule: small nucleolar RNA, 107 nt
Organism: Cynara cardunculus var. scolymus (artichoke)
Lineage: Eukaryota; Viridiplantae; Streptophyta; Magnoliopsida; Asterales; Asteraceae
Source: RefSeq, a predicted model, not a curated record
AUGCCAUUAUGUAGGCAUUUCCUUAACAACUCCUUGUACCUCUCCCAAGCAUCAAGAACUGCCUCAUCCUCCAGUUGUUCAAAAAGAAAAAUCUCAUUUAUAAAUUU